UCGCAUAGUGCUGACUUCAAUUUUUUAUGUUGCGGUGUUUGCUAACCGUGGUCUUACGUAUGUAAUGAUGAAUUAUCUUUUGUGCUGAACAGGUACUAGGUUUUGGUUGAAUCAAUGAUGGAUGAAACAAAAGAGAACCCUUUCAUCAACAGAAAAGAUCACAAAGAUGUUUCGAAUAAAGAGGAUAUUGUUAAUGAUGUUGUAUCGUACAAAACAAAAAAGAGGACUUAAGAAAGGAAGCUUAUGACAGCUAAAAGAGGUGUGCUAACAUUGUAUUUAUAUGGAUUUUUAAAGUGUUAAACACUUUCUUGUUAAUUAUAUUGCAUGU
This 328-nucleotide long non-coding RNA is filed under the name Helianthus annuus (common sunflower). RNAcentral's name for it is "hypothetical non coding rna". The record is from RNAcentral. Lineage: Eukaryota; Viridiplantae; Streptophyta; Magnoliopsida; Asterales; Asteraceae.